Molecule: non-coding RNA, 387 nt
Filed under: Gasterosteus aculeatus (three-spined stickleback)
Lineage: Eukaryota; Metazoa; Chordata; Actinopteri; Perciformes; Gasterosteidae
Description: Eukaryotic large subunit ribosomal RNA
Rfam family: Eukaryotic large subunit ribosomal RNA
Source: Rfam by way of RNAcentral
GAGAAGGGUUCCAUGUGAACAGCAGUUGAACAUGGGGCAGUCGGUCCUAAGAGAUGGUCGAACGCCGUUCGGAAGGGCAUAGCAAUGGCCUACGUCGCCCCCGGCAAAUCGAAAGGGAGCUGGGUUCAGAUGGCGGAGACAGGCGCCGCGAGGCGCCGCGAGGCACCCAGUGCGGCGACGCAAACGAUUCCGGAGAAGCUGGCGGGACCCCCGGGAAGAGUUCUCCUUUCUUUGUGAAGGGCAGGGCGCUCUGGAACGGAUUAAUCCAGUGUGCAGUUACACCUAGAAAGCUUUUAUUGUAAGCAGUCCAGAUGUCUGCUGUGGUAGAGACAUGUUGUAAACCCUCAAAUGUUUUUUUUUGCUCUACCUGCAUUUUUGCAUAUUCUC